GACGAACGCUGGCGGCAUGCCUAAUACAUGCAAGUCGAGCGAACAGAUGAAGUGCUUGCACUUCUGACGUUAGCGGCGAACGGGUGAGUAACACGUAAGGAAUCUACCUAUAAGCGGGGGAUAACAUUCGGAAACGGGUGCUAAUGCCGCAUAAUAUCUUCUUCCGCAUGGAAGAAGAUUGAAAGACGGCUCUGCUGUCACUUAUAGAUGACCUUGCGGUGCAUUAGUUAGUUGGUGGGGUAACGGCCUACCAAGACGAUGAUGCAUAGCCGACCUGAGAGGGUGAUCGGCCACAUUGGGACUGAGACACGGCCCAAACUCCUACGGGAGGCAGCAGUAGGGAAUCUUCCGCAAUGGGCGAAAGCCUGACGGAGCAAUGCCGCGUGAGUGAAGAAGGCCUUCGGGUCGUAAAACUCUGUUAUAAGAGAAGAACAAAUUGUAGAGUAACUGCUACAGUCUUGACGGUAUCUUAUCAGAAAGCCACGGCUAACUACGUG
RNAcentral lists this ribosomal RNA (497 nucleotides) under uncultured bacterium. Its description in RNAcentral is "partial 16S ribosomal RNA". It matches the Rfam family "Bacterial small subunit ribosomal RNA", at positions 28 to 507 of the family's 1533-position model. The record is from RNAcentral.